Molecule: long non-coding RNA, 312 nt
Filed under: Pan troglodytes (chimpanzee)
Lineage: Eukaryota; Metazoa; Chordata; Mammalia; Primates; Hominidae
Description: long non-coding RNA NONPTRT007818
Source: RNAcentral
GUUUAUCUUGCAGUGGAAGUAGUAGUCAUGCUCAUGUAAACUCCAGGAUAUCCGUUCAUUCACCUUUGGAUAUGGGACACAUAGAUCUGCCAGAGCUGGAAACUGAAGACACAUUGGAACUACAAUUCCAGCAGCUCAGUCUUCCCCAGUUUUGUGUCUCCAUUCUGGAAUCAGCUGUUCCUCUCUUAAGAACAGGUAGCAGACAAGUGAUAAUAAGAGUUCUGGAAUUGCUUACAGAGGAUAUGACACUUAUUGGUGAAGCAAUUUCAACAGAUAUCUGGGAUGACAGCAGCCUUUUUGGUAUAGAUAUGG